Molecule: long non-coding RNA, 3559 nt
Filed under: Canis lupus familiaris (dog)
Lineage: Eukaryota; Metazoa; Chordata; Mammalia; Carnivora; Canidae
Description: lncRNA (ENSCAFG00000056537.1)
Source: RNAcentral
ACAUGAGUAUCAAGUACUAAAUAUUUAUUAGAACACAUAUUCGCAAAGAAAAGUGCUAAUACAGCAUAUAAAUAUAAUGAGUAAAUUCUUACAUAUUGAGAAAAUUUCUUCUUGGGUAUAAUUUUUGUUUUUCUGUGAAAGUAACUUGGCUACUUUAGGAAGUUCAUUUGGUAAUACUUUUCAAAUAUUACCCUAGUGGAUUAAGAUGAAGUGCUAUGUUCCAGAACAAUGAAUGUCUUGUCAGUCCAAGGAAGUAAUUUGCACUGGAUGAGAGUAGUCCAAAGUUUUAUUUUCUUUUUACAGUAGAAAGCUAAAAUAUAUUAGCAAUCCUGUUAGGUGGACUCAUUGCUACUUCAGUCUUUCAUUAUUCUAAAAAAAAAAAAAAAAUCACCUUUAUUUGUGCAUUUUUCAUGAGAACUUUUUACUGCAUUUAUGGAGGAUGUGAUCACACCUGAUAUAUAAUUUUACAUUUUCCAAAAGGAAGUGAGACUUCCUAUGCCAGACCGUUACAGUGGGAAGUUACCUUGGAGAUCAUGUAAGGCAACUUCCUCCAUCUACUAAUGAGAAGAUGGGAAUAGAGACCACAGUGAUUAGCAGUGGAUAAAAAGUCCACUAGUGGCCAGCUCUCCUAAAUCCUAAAGACUUUACUCCCUCAAUGAUUGGUGUUCAAUCUAUAAUACCUCUUAAAAUCUAUCCAGUUUAACAAAUAUCCGUUGAGGGCUGGCUGCCAAGUGCUGCGUGAAGUUCUCUGGAGGUGUAUAAACCUGGAUAACUCAUGAUUAAUGUUCAGAGAAGCUCACAGUUCAGAGAUGGAAUCAAUCAUACCAGAAGAUACUUGGAGUCCAAGCUGGAAAAUUCAAAUAGGAAGGAGAAAAAAGCAAGAGAGGAACUCCUGCAGGUGCUCUGAGCUAUGUAUUUCCAGGACGGCUUCAGUCUAUAGGAUUUGUGUAUCCCCUUAAGUAGUAUUUUCUCAAAUUUCCAUUCGCUAAAGUGUCAUUUCCUCCCCCUCCCCCAUCCAUGAUUUUACUGGUAAGGGUGAGGAAAUAACUGAUAAUAAAAUAUUCCCCUCUAGCCAAACACCUGCUCCUUACCUCCCAUGGAGGGGAAUCACAGCCUCUCUACUCUGUGCACUAAUUUUCCUUUCCUGCAUCAAGAUCCCUACCCCUGGCAUUGCUGGAUUUUGAGCUUCCUUAGUAUCAUUUCCCCUGUGACCUGAUGGCAGAUGCGGGGAACAGAAACCUCCUCCCUCCCCCCCCUCCUGCCCCCCAGGCUGCAUAAGGCCCUUUCUGAAUGCUUUAAAGACUCUGGGCCAGCCCUUUCCUCAGGUGCCACUCAGCUUUGCAAGUUCUAGUUCUCAAAGAUUUGCUUCAAAAUGAGGAUAGGGGCACCUGGGUCGUUCAGGCGGUUAAGUGUCUGCCUUUGGCUCGAGUCAUGACCCCAGGGUCCUGGGAUUGAGCCCCUCUCUGGAACUCCCUGAUCAGUAGGGGGUCUGCUUCUUCCCCUCACUCUACCUUUUACCUUUCCCCACCUGUGCUCACUCGAGCCCUCUCUCCAAUAAAGAAGUAAAAUCUCAAACAAACAACUAGAGGUUAUUUUAGUCACCUCAUACAGUACAAUUAUGCAGCUCUUGUCCUUUGGUGAUGGGUUUAUUUCUCCUAGUCAAACGUUCUCCAGGUUCAUCCAUGUUGUCGUCUAUAAAACAGUCAAACUCCUAGAAGUGGAGAGUAGAGUGAUGGUUGCCAGGGCCCGGGGAGAGGGGGAAAUGGGGAGUUGCUAUUCAAAGAGUACAGAGUUUUAGUUCUCCCAGACAAAUAAGUUCUAGAGAGCUUCUAUAUGCAGUUAACAAUACUCGAUUGUACACUUAAAAAUGUAUUGAGGGUACCCUCCAUGUUAAAUGUUCUUACCACAAAACCAAACCAAAGAGUGCGCUUUGGGAAUAUGGAAAGGAGUGUAUUUACCAUGCUAGCUUUGAUAUGAAUCCUCAAUUUUUAGAGGAGAAACUACCUGAUUAGACCUCCUCUCCUUUUCCAGCCCUUUACUUCCUUCUCCAAAUCCCCUUCUAUCCCACAGUGGUUUAUCAGGCAUCUGGACACGCUAAUACACAUGUGCAAUCUCACACACAUUGGUCAUACAACACACAUCAGCAUGUGUGUGCAUGCACGCACACUCACCCCUAACUCAGUUUCCCGUCUAGGCUGCACUAACCUGUGCAUAGGAAGCCCUGAGCAGAGCAGGAAUAAGAGAGGAGAUUAUACCAACUUCUCUUUGCCCUUUGCAAAGAAAACUUUCCGGAGACAGGCAUAAUAGAGUUUUUUGUUUUGUUUUGUUUUCUGUUUCUUUUGCGAAAUUUACUGCAAUUCCUGAUAAAACUAUUGUGUCUGCUAUCUGCCAAGGAUAUUGUAUUAUAGAACACUCUCUCUUGUGAUGGAUAGCAUACACUGCAGAGGCAGUUUUAUGAAAAAAAAAUUUUUGGAAAGAUAGAUUUUUAUUUUUCUUAUACACAGAAAUUUUAUACUGUAUAAAAGUCUUCAAAUGAAUAAUGUAUAUGUGUAUUAUUUAAGACAUACAGGUGCUAUCUGUAAAGUAAAACCGACAAGUCAGUUUUUAUGCUGACCAGCUGUGAAAUGUUGUUUUAGCUUUUCUCACACAAUUAUGCGCAUAUUACUUGGCUUUUAUGAGUUACCCAAGUUCUUUUUUUUUUGCUCUUUAUUUUCCGGAAAUCAUCUCAAAAUCAAACCUUACUGGAAACACAUGGAAAAUCAGGAAUUUCCAGCCUAAAGUAAUUUGAAACACUUGAGGUUUUUAUUUUUUCUUCAUGAUGGCAAAGUUAAGCAAAGAUUUCAAAUUCCUUAAUGAGUAGUAAUUGCAGUAGGUAGGACCUGUUGUUUCAUAGCAACAGUUAAUUGUUUGCUUUUUUAAGUUAAGGUUUCAUGGUAACAACACCUUCCUCAAGCUCUGGAAUAUCAGUCUUCCUGGACACUAUUCAGUCUCUCCAUGUUAAAUGCAUUUGCCUUAUUCUGGUCAGUAAAGUAAGACACUGACCUUAGGCUAAACAAAGUUGAUAAAUAAAUACCAAUUGGUUACUGCCUAACUUCCCCCACCCCCUUCCUUGGGGCAGGCAGGAAAUAGAAACAGGAACUGAGUAAUCAUAAGCUCACCUCCCACCCAUGAUGCUGGGGUCACUGCAAGUUGCCUUGGUGGUUUAAGAAAGAUACCCAGUAUCAUUUUGUAAUGACUGUCUCUGGACUAAUAUUUAUAUCUCUAACACAUACCUUUCCUAGUAAGGCACUAACAGAUGGAAGAGCAGAUGAUCCUCUAUCAAGAUAGGGGUUCAGAUAAAGGCAUUGAAGUUUUUACUUACCUUCUUUUACUUUGGAGGUGCUUCUCCUCCUAUACCCCUCUCUUGUCCCCAGAAUCAUUUUGGAAGCACUAAGCAAGAGUGCCACCAUUACUUACUGCCUGAAUGGAGAUGUGAUCCUAAGUUCCAGGGAGGACUCUUCUUCCAUGUCCAUCACCAUCAAUCCUCCUCCUUUAAAAAAAAAAAAAAAAAAAAAAAAAA